This 666-nucleotide ribosomal RNA is filed under the name Caesio varilineata (variable-lined fusilier). RNAcentral describes it as "partial 12S ribosomal RNA". It matches the Rfam family "Bacterial small subunit ribosomal RNA", at positions 513 to 1491 of the family's 1533-position model. Lineage: Eukaryota; Metazoa; Chordata; Actinopteri; Lutjaniformes; Lutjanidae. The record is from RNAcentral.
CACCGCGGUUAUACGAGAGACCCGAGUUGAUAGACACCGGCGUAAAGAGUGGUUAAGACUAUACUUAACACUAAAGCCGAACGCCCUCAGAGCUGUUAUACGCAUCCGAGGGUAAGAAGCCCAACCACGAAAGUGGCUUUAUGACAUCUGAAUCCACGAAAGCUAUGAUACAAACUGGGAUUAGAUACCCCACUAUGCCUAGCCAUAAACAUUGAUAGUAACCUACACCCACUAUCCGCCCGGGAACUACGAGCAUCAGCUUAAAACCCAAAGGACUUGGCGGUGCUUUAGAUCCACCUAGAGGAGCCUGUUCUAGAACCGAUUACCCCCGUUCAACCUCACCUUUCCUUGUCCCUCCCGCCUAUAUACCACCGUCGUCAGCUUACCCUGUGAAGGACUUAUAGUAAGCAAGAUUGGCAUAGCCCAAAACGUCAGGUCGAGGUGUAGCGUAUGGAAAGGGAAGAAAUGGGCUACAUUCCCUAACACAGGGAACCACGAACGAUACGCUGAAACACGUAUCUGAAGGAGGAUUUAGCAGUAAGCAGAAAAUAGAGCGUUCCGCUGAAACCGGCCCUGAAGCGCGCACACACCGCCCGUCACUCUCCCCGAGCUCAUCAAACUCAAAUAUUUAAAACCUAAAAACUGCAAAGGGGAGGCAAGUCGUAA